UACGUAGGGGGCAAGCGUUGUUCGGAAUCACUGGGCGUAAAGCGCACGUAGGCGGAUGUGUCAGUCAGGGGUGAAAUCCCGGAGCUCAACUUCGGAACUGCCUCUGAUACAGCACGUCUUGAGUCCGGAAGAGGUGGGUGGAAUUCCUAGUGUAGAGGUGAAAUUCGUAGAUAUUAGGAAGAACACCGGUGGCGAAGGCGCUCUGCUGGACCAUAACUGACGCUCAGGGACGAAAGCUAGGGGAGCGAAUGGG
Molecule: ribosomal RNA, 253 nt
Filed under: uncultured bacterium
Lineage: Bacteria
Description: partial 16S ribosomal RNA
Rfam family: Bacterial small subunit ribosomal RNA
Source: RNAcentral